This 1924-nucleotide long non-coding RNA is filed under the name Capsicum annuum. Its description in RNAcentral is "long non-coding RNA (CANN_LNC022094)". The record is from RNAcentral. Lineage: Eukaryota; Viridiplantae; Streptophyta; Magnoliopsida; Solanales; Solanaceae.
UCACCACGUCCUCCAAGGCCUCCCAGAACCGCAUCUUCUCCUCCCCCUCCGAUCCCACAUGCGGCGCAUAGGCACUACACACGUUCAGGGUAAACCCCCGAAUGACCAACUUGAUAGUCAUCAACCUAUCGUUGAUCCUCUUCACCUCCACUACCUGACCUCUAAGCUCUUCAUCUACCAAGAUGCCAACUCCAUUCCUACGCCUGUCGCUCCCAGAGUACCACAGCUUGUAACCGUCCACAUCCCUAGCCUUAGACCCUACCCACUUGGUCUCUUGGACACACGCAAGGUUGAUCCUUCUCUUCCUAAGAAUCUUCACCAGCUCUAUGGACUUCCCCUGAAGGGUCCCUAUAUUCCAAGACCCAACCCUCAGCCUACCGUCGCUAUCCACGCGCCCCCCACUAACCACUCCCGCCCCCACCACGGCCCCACACCCCAACCCCCUCGGACAUGACCCUAUCCACCCAUUACCGCCCACAGCCACAACUACACGAAAGUAUAGGAAAAUAUAAAGAUAUACACGGUGGUAGUAUCAAAGCAGCAACAAGAAAAUACAAGGCUCACACAAAUUCAAAGGAAUACUCCCAAAACAAAACUAUACUCAAUUAGGGGCAAACACCACUGGACUCAACACCCACAGCCCCAAAUGCAGGUUCCCAGCCAAUAACCCAAUCCAAAGCAGUGGAAGAAACGACCACAGCAACUAUAAAUAGUUGCCAUAGCCAUUUUCUUUACUUAGCUUUUUGAUGAAUAUUGACAUUUUUGAGAAAUUGUAGUUUCUUAGUAAAUUUCCUUAAGGAGAUCAAUGAAAUAAUUAGUGUAGUUAGUCCGGUUAAUUAGUGUUGAUCUAGAAAUUGUUGGUAAAAUUUUGUCUUGUUUAAUCGAAGAAUUACCCAUUUGUGGUUCUUGUUUCAUUGAUUGUUCAAGCUCGUGUUUGUGUUGAGGUAAGGGUAUCAAGUCCCUUGUUGCUCAUAAUUUCAAUACUUAGAUAUUAAUCCAUAUAUCCUUCUUUUUUUCCCUUUUUCUUUUCUUGUUCUUCUCUCUUUGAUUCUUAUCACCAUGGGUGAUAAAGAUGUCAUUUGGGCAUUCAAGACAGGACAGGCCCUUGUGGGUUAUUUCCUAAAUAGUCACUUUUGGGUUAUUUUUGCAGAGGUAAUAACUAUAAAUAGUUGCCUUAGCCAUUUACAUUCUUAGGUUUGGUUGAAUUGAGAGCUUUGAAUCUUGUAGUAGAAUUCUCUAAGUGAAGCCUAGCAUUAGAGUAGUUCAUAGUUGAUAAUCGUAGAUAAGAGUGUUUAGUGUGGAAUCUCUAAGUUGCUCGUGUUAAAUUCUUCUAGCUUAAUCAAUCAUCGAGUUACCCUCUUUGAAGAUUCCAAUUUGAUUUUCUCGUCUUUGAUUGAAUCGGGUUUAUUGUUGUUCGGUUGGAUUCAAUUGAGAGGCAAAGGCAGAGUCUUUUGUUGCUCGUAAAUCCGAUCGAAUUUCGAUAAUUCCACAUAUCCUUUUGUUUAUUUCAAUUUUUCGCAUUUUGGUUCUAGUUUCCAAUUAGAAUCGUUAUCACUCUCCCUCCUAGCCUGCUUGCUAGAGUCUCUAUCUAUAUUAUUUUAUUGAUGGGAUAUAUCAAGUUCUUUUCCCCUAUUUAUAUGUAGCCUAGAAAAUGCUUAAAAAAAUGAAUAUGACCCCCAAAAUCAGAACAUGUUCCAUAUUGCCCACUUUUUCCCUCACAUAACUCAUCCCUAUAUCUAAGUUACUCGGACUUUCCACUUUCGGUGCCACACCCGUGUCGACACGACAUGGGUGUAGGUGUGGGAUCCGUACCCGAUCUGGUCAACCGAUUUUGGGUACUUUGACCAAAAUCGACUAAGAAAGUCCGGAUAGAAUUGAGAAAUUCUGUAAUUAAAACAAAAGCUAAGGUAAAAUUGAAGAAAAU